UUCGGAGGUCAGAGCUCGGCGGGGUGCGGCUAGUGGCGGAGCGCGCUGCGAGGGGAGGGCUUUCCACUGUCGCUGGCGUGAACUCGCGUGCCCGGUGGGUAUCAGGGAAGAACCCCCGCCCCGGACCCCCAGAUCUGCCAUGGCCGAGGUAGCGAUCGUCUCUGCGGCCACGAAGACUGUUUUAACUUGUACCACUUUCCCUUCCAUUUUUCCUGGGGUGCCUCUCACCCUGCAUCUGCGCGUUCAGCAAGCUGGAUUUCGGGAAUGCUCAGUUCAGAAGAGAAAAAAUUGCCGGGAAUCAAGUCCUUCUUUUUGUUAGUCGGUAGUCGAUUGAUGGGAAGUGUUCAAAAUCAUUCGAUGUGGUGACAAGGCUUCACCAGGUACUGCCUUCUAACGAGCUGGCCAUUUCCACAUGUCAGAUAGGACCAACUUGCCUUUUAACUACCCGUGUGAUACUUAAACACUGUUGCCGGUAUCACAGCUUUUCUUCAAAACAGGAAGCAACGAGAAUGAGGGCAUUCCAGUAGC
This 528-nucleotide long non-coding RNA is filed under the name Homo sapiens (human). RNAcentral describes it as "non-protein coding APTR:8". The record is from RNAcentral. Lineage: Eukaryota; Metazoa; Chordata; Mammalia; Primates; Hominidae.